GCUUACGACAUCUCUAAAGCUAAAUCUGAGAAACUGGAGUUCAAAACAUGGGAACAGUCUUUAACGUACAGGGAAAUUUUCCGACAAAACCAUUCCAAAGUGAAGGUAUUUUACUCCACGAUGGAACACACUAUCUACCAACAACGACCUCUAUUGGAGGGGAGUGAAAUGUUUGGUCAGCUUGGAGGAAUAAUGGGACUCUGGCUAGGAGUUUCCCUUCUUACAAUUGUCGAGUGGACAGAGGGCGUUUAUAUUUUCCUAAAACUCUUCUUGCUUAGGAAGACAUCUCCGAAACAGUGACAGAUACGGUGUUUCGGCUGUGUACGUUUUCAAACUAUCACACAUAUUAUUAUUAGUAGUAGUAGCUGUCAUGCAAGUUGUAUUACCAAACACGAUAAUAUUGCUUUAAAAACUCUGCAUGG
Molecule: long non-coding RNA, 422 nt
Organism: Limulus polyphemus (Atlantic horseshoe crab)
Lineage: Eukaryota; Metazoa; Arthropoda; Merostomata; Xiphosura; Limulidae
Exons: 3
Source: RefSeq, a predicted model, not a curated record